GCGGAUAUGGCGGAAUCGGCAGACGCGCUAGAUUCAGGUUCUAGAGGUAGCAAUACCGUGUGUGUUCAAGUCACAUUAUCCGCACCA
Molecule: transfer RNA, 87 nt
Filed under: Oscillospiraceae bacterium
Lineage: Bacteria; Bacillati; Bacillota; Clostridia; Eubacteriales; Oscillospiraceae
Description: tRNA-Leu
Rfam family: tRNA
About the family: Transfer RNA (tRNA) molecules are approximately 80 nucleotides in length. Their secondary structure includes four short double-helical elements and three loops (D, anti-codon, and T loops).
Source: RNAcentral